CAAGGUUGACCUCAGAUCAGGUAGGAAUACCCGCUGAACUUAAGCAUAUCAAUAAGCGGAGGAAAAGAAACAACAGGGAUUGCCUCAGUAACGGCGAGUGAAGCGGCAACAGCUCAAAUUUGAAAUCUGGCCCCAGGCCCGAGUUGUAAUUUGCAGAGGAUGCUUUUGGCGCGGUGCCUUCCAAGUUCCCUGGAACGGGACGCCACAGAGGGUGAGAGCCCCGUCAGGUUGUGCAACCAAGCCUUUGUAAAGCUCCUUCGACGAGUCGAGUAGUUUGGGAAUGCUGCUCUAAAUGGGAGGUAUAUGUCUUCUAAAGCUAAAUACCGGCCAGAGACCGAUAGCGCACAAGUAGAGUGAUCGAAAGAUGAAAAGCACUUUGAAAAGAGAGUUAAAAAGCACGUGAAAUUGUUGAAAGGGAAGCGUUCAUGACCAGACUUGGGCCCGGUUGAUCAUCCAGCGUUCUCGCUGGUGCACUCUGCCGGCCCAGGCCAGCAUCAGUUCGCUCCGGGGGACAAAGGUUCAGGGAAUGUGACUCCCCACGGGGAGUGUUAUAGCCCUGUUCAAAUGCCCUGGGGUGGACUGAGGUCCGCGCAUUGCAAGGAUGCUGGCGUAAUGGUCAUCAACGACCCGUCUUGAAACACGGACCAAGGAGUCGUCUUCGUAUGCGAGUGUUCGGGUGUAAAACCCUGGCGCGUAAUGAAAGUGAACGCAGGUGAGAGCUUCGGCGCAUCAUCGACCGAUCCUGAUGUUCUCGGAUGGAUUUGAGUAAGAGCAUACGGGGCCGGACCCGAAAGAAGGUGAACUAUGCCUGUAUAGGGUGAAGCCAGAGGAAACUCUGGUGGAGGCUCGCAGCGGUUCUGACGUGCAAAUCGAUCGUCAAAUAUGGGCAUGGGGGCGAAAGACUAAUCGAACCUUCUAGUAGCUGUUU
RNAcentral lists this ribosomal RNA (928 nucleotides) under Paragliomastix luzulae. RNAcentral describes it as "eukaryotic LSU rRNA". It matches the Rfam family "Eukaryotic large subunit ribosomal RNA", at positions 1 to 956 of the family's 3401-position model. The record is from RNAcentral. Lineage: Eukaryota; Fungi; Ascomycota; Sordariomycetes; Hypocreales; Bionectriaceae.